Molecule: non-coding RNA, 3616 nt
Organism: Cherax quadricarinatus
Lineage: Eukaryota; Metazoa; Arthropoda; Malacostraca; Decapoda; Parastacidae
Source: RefSeq, a predicted model, not a curated record
CAUGACUUACAGAGGAAGAAUUCUGUUCCACUUCCCCAUGAGGUAAGAGGAAAUAAACAAGAACAAGAACUAGAAAGAAAAUAGAAGAAAACUCUGAGGGGAGCCGGCACACCUCCUUACAUGGCAGGAGGGGGCGGACAUUCCCCUAGCGCCCCUGUACCACCUCACCCCAUGGCUGCUCCAUUUCCAUAUUCAGAGCCUCUACCGCCCUACCAGACACCCAUGACAGCAGCAGCAGCGGCGGCGGCGGCGGCGGCAGCAGCUGCAGCUGCAGCAGCAGCAAGUGGCGGAGUUAGCGUGUUGACAGGUGGUCCAGCCAGUGACCUCAGCUCUAAUGGAUCCAACCCAAGUUACCCCGAGUUUCCACCGUCCCCAGACUCCUGGCUCGGGGACAUGCAGCAGGACCAUCACCCACAAUACUAACUCACACAUACACCCAUCCAUGUUUCAUAAAAACUUCCUGAAUGUCAUAGCUGCUUACCCUGGAACUUGCACUCGUGCUCAUUUCUAACUACCCCCAAGCUAAGAAUUUUACGACCAUAAAAAAAGUAGCUCUUCUCUUCAUGUUUAUUUUUAUUCCUAAAUGAAAAGAUUCUAGAAUACUGUACCUCAUACCUGCAGCUAGGUCAGGUGAUUUCACCAUUUUUUUUAUGUCACUUGGAAAUAGACAAUGGCUCACAGGCUGGAACACAAUGAAUGCAAAAUGGUUACUUUUCUUAUGACAUUACUUUUUUUUUUUUUCAGGGGAUAAAAUUAUCAUAAAAAAAUUUAACCUGUUACUUUCUUUCUCAAAUGUAUCUUUUUCUAAAGAGCAAUGCAAUGUGCUGAUAAAAAAUGAUGCUUCUAUAUUACACAAAUAUUAGUCUAAUAUUUCAGACAGAACUUAAAUAUAUUCAGUGAUAUACAAAGUGCAGCAACAAUAUAUUGUAUAAUUUGUUCUUAAUAUACUGACAAUGUGAUAUACAGUAUAGCCACAGGGAAUGAUGACUAAAUUAUUGCAUAAAAACAUUCAUAAUGCUGUAAUAAACAAGAUAGCAUUUACUCAUCUCUGUGUACUGAAGAAAGGUUUGCUCUUUCUUAUCCCAUGUCAUGAUCACUUACAAGUAACAACUGCAUACUGCUGGUAGACCUUUUUUUGUUUCCACUCACAGUGGAUCUUCUUCAGAUAUUUGUUAUAGUUAUAUCAUAAUAUUUUGUAAACUUUGCCCCAAAUUAUUAUUAUUAUUAUAAUCAAAAAGAAGUGCUAAACCACAAGGGCUAUACAGCACUUUGCUCCAAAGAAAAUAGACCAAAGUAUCUAUAUCCUAGUCAUGUUUGUAAAGCAUUUUUCUAAUAACAUGGACACCAAUAGGUAUCACAAAUUAAUUUCAAGUUUUGAAAAUGAAUACAUGUAUAUGUAAGAGUACUGAAUGAAAAAAAGAUGGUAGUCAAAACUUUCACCUAGUCAUGCACUUGUACAAAACUAAAGUUUAUUGGUCAAAAUUAUCUCUGAUAAUGUUUAGUUUAGAAAUGAAAUAAUCUUCAGGGAUGGACUUUUGUUUAGGUAAAUGGCUAACAAAAGUCAGCAACUUAAACUCUCCUGAUUUAGCUAAAAAAAAAAUUUACUUGAUGCUUAAUUUAUAAAAGGGAUUACCAAAUAGUUAAGCAUUCAAGCUGUGACCUCUUUCAUAGUUAGUUACUUAAUGGAUAAAAGGUUAUACAUCAGUCGUAUGAAGUUUAUUAUGUUCUAAGGAUUACACGAUGAUAAUUAUGAUAAAGAAUGAUUAAACACUUAAUCAAAACACCUUUAUUUAUAUAGGAACACGUCGUCAUCUCACCUCGCAAUUUGCUCACUAAAUCUGUGAGUAAACUGCAUCAAUGCAUUAUGAGUGAUACAAAAAGUUUCCAGGGUUUGUUGCUAACCUUCACCUAAGAGUUCAAGUGGGUGAGAAGGCUGUUUAUAAGAAGAAACAGCCUUAAUGUGGGAUAGUUGGUCGUCAGGUUAAACAAUGUCCUGUCCUACGGUCCUGGCUGGAUAAACUGGUUUACUGAAUAUCAUGAAAACUAGUGCUACUGUCAACUGUCAGGUGAUAAAAACUUGGUACAUGCCAAAGAUGCAAAUCUGAGUGUGCAAGUGCAAUGUGAACUAUAAUUUCAAUAGAACACAAGUAGUGGAGUUUCCAAGGAUUGAGAAGGGACAUGGUCACUACUAGAAUUAAGUCUUGUGCCAGAAGCCAGAUGUCUUCAGUGAAACGUCUCUCUCCCUAAUCAAUGACCAGACCUGAUGAUGUACAUAUACUUGAAAUGUGAUGGUCAAUACAUAAAUGAAACUUUAAAAGUCGCAAAGGAAAAUGGCAGGUGUUAUGAUGAAAGGAUAUUUUUUUGUAGCUAAUCUGUGUUUGUCCUUUCAUGGAAGAAUUUUUAAUGUAUAUAUCUAAAGUGUAUGAAAUGGAUUAUCUCUAAGGGAAAGUAGAAUACUUUUUUGCCACUAUUGUGAAUUAGAAAAAAUUUGUGUAUACAGAGACAGUCUGCAAUAUGUGUGGUAUGAGUGUAUCUGAUUAAAUAAGAUUUCCUGUACUACUACCUGUAUGAUUUUGCAAUAUACCAAAGAUGAACAAUGUAUGAUAUUUAAGUCUUUACUUUUUCAAGUUAGGGUGAGUAUGUUGGGAAUUCUGACUUGCUUUACUGUAUAACUACCCGAGUGAAAAAAUUCUUUGAUACGGUUCUAAUUAAUCCUUUACGUAUCUUGUAUAGAGAAAAAUAGGUGAACUUAUUUCUAAUUAUGAUGCAGGUUAUUAUUUUUUUAGUGAAUAUGGCUAAUGAAUAAUGACUGUGUUGACAGUGUACCUGACUAGAAGAGAAGCUACAAAUUGAUCUAUGUCAUCGUAGUCUCAAAGCAUAAAUAUGAAGCACCUAUAUUUAGAUAUCCAGCAGUAUAAAACUGAAGGGGAUUCAGAUAAAGAAUAUAGAUUCAGAUGUGGAUUCAGGAUUCAGAUUCAUGAAACUGGUCCUUUCAAUAGCGCUCAGUGUAUAUUGUAGCCUCUUACUCCUAUGGCUUGUUUUAUACAAUACACUACUUUAGUACAAUUUCCCUAUUAUUAGCAUAUUCUUCAACAUUAGUUUUGUACAUAAAAUUAUUGAGUAUGUAUGACUGAAUGGCAAUACUCAUGGCUGUUUGUUAUUAAUAGUUAAUAAUACAGUACUAUUAAUGUGAAACAGACACUUCAGGAUGGCUUCAUCUAUCAGUGUAACAUCUUAUUUCAGUGUCAUUUAUACAUAAGACUUAAUUUCUAAUAUCACUGGGAACUGUGUAUCUGCUAUGUAGACAUGUAUGUGUCCAAUGUAUGUUACGAAGACUUGAUGUUCUCAUAUUCAAUUGUUUAUCUUCGGCCAGGUUGACAUGAGCUAGAUGGGUUGUCUUGUUCUGGAUAAUUUAUCAAGAAGUGCUGUAUCUAGAUUCAUUUAAACAGGCAGGAAGGCUAAUAUUUCCCUUGUUAUAAAUGUAUCUGUAUAAUCAACAAGGACAGUUAUUUUUUAGGUACAGUAGUUUGUUUUUUCCUAAACACAUUUGACAAAUAUUUGCUCAUUUAUACAAAUGAAAGGAAAGAAAUAUGCUCCUUUUAUUGGAAAGGGAUUU